Molecule: long non-coding RNA, 2481 nt
Organism: Acipenser ruthenus (sterlet)
Lineage: Eukaryota; Metazoa; Chordata; Actinopteri; Acipenseriformes; Acipenseridae
Exons: 5
Source: RefSeq, a predicted model, not a curated record
GUGAGAGUGCCAAUGUUGGGGCUGCUCGACUUCUUCAAGAAGCUGCAAGGAUUUUGAAGAGAGAGUCAGAAAGCACAGCCACUGCUGGCUCAGGAUCACAGACUGGUACUGGGACGUGUUCACCCAGUUCUUUUAGAGGUUUGUUUAACAACAUGCAAACCUCACUAGCUGAAGUACAACAGGGAACCCCUACAGUCGAUUCAGGCAGGAUUCCCUGCACUAGAAAUGACCACAUUCAAAGAAAUCUUGUGCAGCUGUUUCAGCCAUGUGAUCGGGCAAGGGGGCAAAAGAUGUUCCAGAAAACUGGAAAGUGUAAACGGAAAACUACACACAGUGAAACCUGGACACGUGAUUUCUUUUGCUUACAGAGACCAAUGUUCAAACUGUGCCCAAUGGAGAAGACCGCAUUGGUUUACAGAAUUCAGCCCUUGGUAGGAAAAAAAUAACAUUUGCAGACAAAAAUGGAGGAUUUUCUGAACUAUGUGAAACUCUGUUUUCACAUUUUCCACAAUUGAAAGGUGCAGGAGGCUUUCAGAUGUUGAGGUCCGUUAAUAAAACCAAACAAUUGGCACCAAUUCCAAUGCCAGCCGGUGAGUACAGUGAGAAAUUUCUGAGAACUGAGAGUGGCCUGAACCAGGCAAUGGCCUACAUUCGACCACUUCAGAAAAACCUGGAGAGCAUUGCGAAGCGUGAGGCUGAAGAGGUAAGAACAGUUGUCAAAAUCUGAUCUCCUCUAUAUUCCUUCUUCUUCGCCUCCCUCUACAGACCUUUCUAUCUGAAUUUCCCUUGAUUCUAUCACCCUUUCCCCUUCCUCCUCUGCCCAAACCUUGGUGUCACCUUUGAUUCCUCCCUUUCCAACUCUCAACAUAUUUCUUCACUGGCACGCUCUUACUGUCUCUUUUUGAGCAAUAUCUAUUGCAUUAAACCUGCUGGACUAUGGCCCUCGACGAUCAGGACUGGAGAUCACUGGGUUAAGGUGUAAAUGCACAUGUAACACAUACUAUAAAAAUGAAGCAUGUUAAAAAUAAAUGUGUGUUUGUUUGUUGUAGUGUCAAGAGGUGGUCAUGGAGAAGUGCAAAAGGUGUGGAAAAGAUAUCCCUCUGCAAUGCCUUUCAGAACACAUUGAAAACUGUGGAAGGUCAUCUGUUUUUCUGGUGUAUUUGUCAUAUAAAUUGCUCAUUUACUUUUACAACAUAGUGGUUGACUUGUAUCUGUGGUAAAUAUGUUUUGACAUUCAAAGCAUGUAUGUCUUUGUUAACUGUUUUCAGACAGCCUGAUGACACUGAUUUGGAAGAUGAUGUCGUUAUGGAGAUAUCUGAAGAGACUCAACUAUCUAUGUCAUCACAUGACAACACAUCCCAUGUUCUAAAUUAUUACAACAAGUGCCAUGCUUCUUCUAGUGGACUGUACAGAGACUAUGUGGACCUUGUCAGUGAAGACAAUGUAUUUAGUGAUUCUGAAGAAGAGCAGCUGAAUAGAGUUCUAGAGGAAUCGCUAAAGGAAAGCUCGCAUGCAGCUUUUAAAUUUCAAAGUCAGACAAUUAAAAAGGAACUGGAUGAUGCGGUUCGACUGGUAUGUUCUUCAGCGAACAAGAACACAGUUUGAAAGGUUGCAAGAAGGACUCCGUUCUCUCGGUGUAAUGGAUUCUAUGAAGGCCCACCCUGAAACCUUUAAACCUAUUUUCUGUCAAUCGACAGAGAAGCUGACUGCUGAUGUGCUUGAAGAGCAGCGAUCUGACUGUGGGAGUAACAAGUUUGAGAGAGAAAAUGAAGCAGUAUGUCAUUGGAGGGAUUAUCUCUUGGAUGUAGAGAUGGGGAUUUGUGGAGUUACCCUGGAGGACAUCCUUGUCUUUGCCACAGGAAGUGACAGUGUACCAGCAUUGGGCUUCAACCCUGCUCCAACUGUUGAAUUUUUGCAUGAUGGUUCACGGUUUCCACUUGCAAACACAUGUUCCAGCAUAUUAAGGGUACCAUGCAGGCAUUCAUACGAGUCCUUCAGGGAUGAUAUGGACUUUGGAAUUAAAAAUUCCCCAGGCUUUGGAAGGGCAUAACCAAAUUCCUUUGCUUACCAUACCUGUAGUCAAAGGGCACAAGUAUGUUCGAUCCUAAGAACAAUGUUAUGCAUGCCAAAGUGCUGCUAGAAUUUUUAUGUUUGUCAUUUUUGUUAUCUAUAAUUCUUUGUACACUUAAAUUUAGCAAGUGAGUCACUUUUGGUUGAGAAUUCUUACCUGUAGUUAUUAUUAUUGCAGAUAUUUAGCAGACACCUUUAUUAAGCACUACAAUUCAAUUUACUAAAAUAUUAAAAUGUAAUAGUUCAAUCUGUCAAUAUUAACAUCAGUGCCUUUAAAUAAAAGUAUAGGCUGGAUCUUUUCCCUCCUAAGGAUUUUUGGUAAUAGAGAAUUCUUAACAGUUGUUAAGUUGUUCCAAGAAAGAACAUUUUACUUUUCCUCCUUAUUAAUAAACACUAUUUGCAUUUCUGUGA